This 500-nucleotide ribosomal RNA is filed under the name uncultured bacterium. RNAcentral describes it as "partial 16S ribosomal RNA". It matches the Rfam family "Bacterial small subunit ribosomal RNA", at positions 29 to 523 of the family's 1533-position model. The record is from RNAcentral.
AUUGAACGCUGGCGGAAUGCUUUACACAUGCAAGUCGAACGGCAGCACGGGGGCAACCCUGGUGGCGAGUGGCGAGCGGGUAAGUAAUACAUCGGAACGUGCCCAGUCGUGGGGGAUAACGUAGCGAAAGUUACGCUAAUACCGCAUACGAUCUACGGUUGAAAGCGGGGGACCGUAAGGGCUCGCGCGAUUGGAGCGGCCGAUGUCAGGAUAGGUAGUUGGCGAGGUAAAGGCUCACCAGGCACACGAUCUGUAGCUGGUCUGAGAGGACGACCAGCCAGACGUGGGGUGAGACUCGGCACAGACUGCUACAGGAAGCAGCAGUGGGGAAUUUUGGACAAUGGGCGCAAGCCUGAUCCCACCAGUCCGCGUGCAGGGCGAAGGCCUUCGGGUUGUAAACUGCUUUUGUACGGAACGAAAAGGCUCUGGUUAAUACCUGGGGCUCAUGACGGUACCGUAAGAAUAAGCACCGGCUAACUACGUGCCAGCCGCCGCUGUAA